RNAcentral lists this ribosomal RNA (549 nucleotides) under uncultured Diversispora. Its description in RNAcentral is "SSU rRNA". It matches the Rfam family "Eukaryotic small subunit ribosomal RNA", at positions 548 to 1098 of the family's 1831-position model. Lineage: Eukaryota; Fungi; Glomeromycota; Glomeromycetes; Diversisporales; Diversisporaceae. The record is from RNAcentral.
UUGGAGGGCAAGUCUGGUGCCAGCAGCCGCGGUAAUUCCAGCUCCAAUAGCGUAUAUUAAAGUUGUUGCAGUUAAAAAGUUCGUAGUUGAACUUCGGGGUUUACCCAUUGGUCAGGCUUAAUUGUCUGUACUGGUGAGAUGAAUCUCUACCUUCUGAGGAACUUUCAUGCCAUUUAUUUGGUGUGAUGGGAAAUCAGGACUGUUACUUUGAAAAAAUUAGAGUGUUUAAAGCAGGCUAACGUCUGAAUACAUUAGCAUGGAAUAAUGAAAUAGGACGUUUGAUCCUAUUUUGUUGGUUUCUAGGAUUGACGUAAUGAUUAAUAGGGAUAGUUGGGGGCAUUAGUAUUCAAUUGUCAGAGGUGAAAUUCUUGGAUUUAUUGAAGACUAACUACCGCGAAAGCAUUUGCCAAGGAUGUUUUCAUUAAUCAAGGACGAAAGUUAGGGGAUCGAAGACGAUCAGAUACCGUCGUAGUCUUAACCAUAAACUAUGCCGACUAGGGAUCGGACGAUGUUAAAUUUUAUUGACUCGUUCGGCGCCUUACGGGAAAC